CCUGAAGGGUAGGCCACCUGCAGCCCAGGGGCCACAGAAGGCUAGGGAGAGGGACAGGACCCAGUGAAGUUCCUGAGGCUGGAGAAGCUUGUGUCAGGAAAACGAAAGCGGCUUGUGUGGCUGGAGGUACCAUCAACAUCUGCUAAUUCAAGAGAAAUGAGGCACAUACUCAAUGAGACCCUGACAUCACCAGAGGAAACACUCCAAAUUGCCCUUUCUGUCUGCCAAAAUGUAUCUGAACCUUGAAUUUCAUCUGCAAACACUUCAAAAGAACAAAGGUACACAUGACCUCGUAUGCAGUAAGUCCUGAGAGAAUCCCAUUGCACCUGUGAUUGUGCUGGUCAGGAAAGGCGGAGUCCAUGACUCAAGAAGUUCCCCAACAACACACCCACGUCAGAACCUGAAGUUCUAACUACUACAUCUCAUGCCACCUGCCGACUGGCAAGACUCAUCCCAGGCCACCACUGUUCAAUUCUGGUGGCCCUGCAGACCACACCAGGGAGGACUGUCCGGGGCUCUGAUUCCUUCCCAUACAGUCUGCUUUCCAAGAGGCUCAGGCCCAGAAGGUGGCAUCCUCAGAGACUUGGGAUCUGGAGCCCAUGGAAAGGGCAGGUAAAGAGGCGGCCCCAGGACAGCCAAGGACUGAAUGGGCAGGAUUUUAGAGUUCCAUGUUUGACUUAUCCUGAGAGAUAAAGAUAGAAGACUGCAGCCCAAUUCUCAAAGUCCUCUCUCUAUGCCAAGGGAAGAUUUUUCUUAUUCAUGAAUGCACCAUUUUUCUCCAUCAACUCAUGAAGGUUCAGAGAUGUCCUUGCAAAUUCCAGAAUUUACUUCUUUCAUAAGGUUGAAUAA
Molecule: non-coding RNA, 849 nt
Organism: Ictidomys tridecemlineatus (thirteen-lined ground squirrel)
Lineage: Eukaryota; Metazoa; Chordata; Mammalia; Rodentia; Sciuridae
Source: RefSeq, a predicted model, not a curated record